Small nucleolar RNA from Talpa occidentalis (Iberian mole), 104 nucleotides. RefSeq annotates it as small nucleolar RNA U13. The record is from RefSeq and is a predicted model, not a curated record. The transcript has a single exon. NCBI's taxonomy places the organism in Eukaryota, Metazoa, Chordata, Mammalia, Eulipotyphla, Talpidae.
AUCCUUUUCCGGUUCGUAAGCAUGAUGAUUGGGUGUUCACGCGGCUGCGUGAGAUGUGCCUUCCUUAAACCUUGGUAGGACGUGGGCACAUUACCCUUCUGAUG